This 253-nucleotide ribosomal RNA is filed under the name uncultured bacterium. RNAcentral describes it as "partial 16S ribosomal RNA". It matches the Rfam family "Bacterial small subunit ribosomal RNA", at positions 524 to 776 of the family's 1533-position model. The record is from RNAcentral.
UACGGAGGAUUCGAGCGUUACCCGGAUUUAUUGGGUUUAAAGGGUGCGUAGGCGGUCGGAUAAGUUAGAGGUGAAAUCCCGGGGCUCAACUUCGGAAUUGCCUCUGAUACUGUUCGGCUAGAGAGUAGUUGCGGUAGGCGGAAUGUAUGGUGUAGCGGUGAAAUGCUUAGAGAUCAUACAGAACACCGAUUGCGAAGGCAGCUUACCAAGCUACUUCUGACGUUGAGGCACGAAAGCGUGGGGAGCAAACAGG